UACGAAGGGUGCAAGCGUUACUCGGAAUUACUGGGCGUAAAGCGUGCGUAGGUGGUUUUUUAAGUCCGUUGUGAAAGCCCUGGGCUCAACCUGGGAAUUGCAGUGGAUACUGGCGAGCUAGAGUGCGGUAGAGGAUGGUGGAAUUCCCGGUGUAGCGGUGAAAUGCGUAGAGAUCGGGAGGAACACCCGUGGCGAAGGCGGCCAUCUGGACCAGCACUGACGCUGAGGCACGAAAGCGUGGGGAGCAAACGGG
Molecule: ribosomal RNA, 253 nt
Filed under: uncultured bacterium
Lineage: Bacteria
Description: partial 16S ribosomal RNA
Rfam family: Bacterial small subunit ribosomal RNA
Source: RNAcentral